RNAcentral lists this ribosomal RNA (301 nucleotides) under uncultured bacterium. RNAcentral describes it as "partial 16S ribosomal RNA". It matches the Rfam family "Bacterial small subunit ribosomal RNA", at positions 509 to 809 of the family's 1533-position model. The record is from RNAcentral.
CAGUCGCCGCGGGAAUACAGAGGAUGCAAGCGUUAUCCGGAAUGAUUGGGCGUAAAGCGUCUGUAGGUGGCUUUUCAAGUCCGCCGUCAAAUCCCAGUGCUCAACCCUGGACAGGCGGUGGAAACUACCAAGCUGGAGUACGGUAGGGGCAGAGGGAAUUUCCGGUGUAGCGGUGAAAUGCGUAGAUAUCGGAAGGAACACCUGUGGCGAAAGCGGCUCACUGGACCAUAACUGACGCUGAUGCACGAAAGCUAGGGGAGCAAACAGGAUUAGAUACCCCUGUAGUCCCUGUCUCUUAUAA